Molecule: non-coding RNA, 2083 nt
Organism: Delphinapterus leucas (beluga whale)
Lineage: Eukaryota; Metazoa; Chordata; Mammalia; Artiodactyla; Monodontidae
Source: RefSeq, a predicted model, not a curated record
CUUUAUUUACUAACUCCUGAAACAGAUCAUUAGAAGACAACAUAUAGCAAGGUCCUUUGCAGGAGGAAGAUAAAUCACAGCAUUCAGCUAAAAAACCCAAAACAAAAACCCAUGACAAAAUCGUGUUUAUGAAGAAGAUUCCCUCAUGCCUAGAGGUUGAAGAUUGCAUCGCAGGCCAUCAUUUGACCAGCAAGAGUUGCUUCUGCUCCAUCUUCAUUACUGGACAGGCCAGCGGAAACAGCAUUGAAGUGCUGCUGUGCAGCAGCCAAAGCUUCAGCAUCUUUAUUACUUGCUUCUUGAAGGGCACUCAGCCCAUCUGUCAUCUUUUUAACCUCUUUUUCCUUUGCUGCUAAAGUUUUAGAAUCCUUUAGGAAGAGUUUCAGAUUGGAAAGUAUUAUAUUUUAGAAAACCAUCCAUUUUCUUAAACACAUAUACCUUUAUGUCAUCAAAUUUCACAGCAAUUUGAAGUGAACAUGGUAAUUUAACCAUCAUAACUUUAUACUUUAUUCCCAUUUUGAAAUUCAGCCUUUCUCAGUUUUUAGGAUAAAUGUACCUCUUAUCCUAGUAAUACUUUCAUUCCGUAUGUUAUAGUCAAAUCUGGGAGACAGUGAACUAAAACAUCAUUGCAAAUUUAAACAAACCACUUGAAAAAACUAAAAAUCAAGUUCUAAACCUAUAAAAUUGAAAUAAUAACCACCCUACCCAAAGCUUCAAAGUAGAGAUUUUAGGAUUAAGAGCAUGAAUAGGAAAAUAUAAGCUAUUAAAGGCCAUAAAUUUAAGUGUUAAAUAAUUAUGGGAACAGCAUUACUAACACUUAACACCUUUUAAGUUCUAGUAACCAGGUAUCUAAUGCUAUGUAAGAUACCAGCACUGAAAGAAAAAAAAAAGAAAAAAAAUAUCUAGUCACAGUUACAUGAAAGUGACCAGAAAUUUUGGCUCACUUAAUUCAUGAUUCAUUGGAUAUUUAUUAGAUAUGUACCAGGCAUUAUUCUAGACAUUAAAGACAUAGGGUCCUCAGGGAGCCUACAUUUCUAAGGUGGAAGACAUAGUAAACAAAUAACUAAAGCAAGGUAAAGGGACAAGAAAUGAUGGGACUACUGUUUUAAGAAUGAUGACGGAAGCCCUUUUGUGAUGAUAUUUUGAGCAGAAACCUAAAUGAAACAAAAGGAGUGAUCAUGCUAAUACUAGGGGGACAGCAUACUUGGCAAGCUCUGAGGAAUAUGCUUGGGUGUUAGAGGAACUGUGGUUGGAGCACAGUGAGCAAGUGAAAGCAAGGUAACUAUUAAGGACACUACUGAGUAUCCCUCCUGGGAGGUGAUGGGUUCAACCAGGUUAGCAGUGAAGGAGGUGUGAAAAGUGGCUGUAUUCUGGAUAUACUUUUAGAGUCAACAGAAUUUGUUGAUGAACUAGAUACCAUAGAGUUUGAGAGAAAAGGGAAAAUUCAGGAGGACUCCAGGUUCUGGAGUGAACAGCUAGGUUAAUAGUGGUAUCAUUUACUUACAUGAGAAAAAUUCAGUAACUCAGGCAGGUUUGGGUAGGUAGGGAAAAUUUAAGAGUUCUAUUUUGGUUAUGUUAAGUUUUAGACUUCUAAAGUCAUCCAUAUAAAAAUGUCAAUUAAAUAGCUUGACAAAUGAGUCCUUCAAAGAAGGAGUCAAGGCUAAUUAUUGAUUUGAAAGGCAUCAAUAUAUAGACGGUAUUUAGGGCUAUAGGGCUGUAUGGGAUCACCUAAGAAAUGAGUGUAUAUAAAAGAAGUCUGAGCACUAGCCCUGGGGCAUGCCAGCAUAUGUAUUUUGAUUUGUAUUUUCAACCUGGAUUCAAGGUUCAUAUAUUCAACUAUCAAACCAACAUCUCUACUUAGAUGUCUAACUGGCUCCUCAAGCCUAUUAUCCUCCACUCAACAAAUGGUAACCAUAUUUCACACUGUCAAAGACAAAUCUCUGGAGUUAUCCUUCAGUCCUUUUUCACAGUCAAAAACCAAUCUGCUGGCACUACUUACAACAGCCAAGACAUGAAAACAACUUAAAUGUCCAUGGACAGAGGAAUGGAUAAAGAUGUAGUGUGUAUGUACACACCCACACACACA